RNAcentral lists this ribosomal RNA (462 nucleotides) under uncultured bacterium. RNAcentral describes it as "bacterial SSU rRNA". It matches the Rfam family "Bacterial small subunit ribosomal RNA", at positions 77 to 518 of the family's 1533-position model. The record is from RNAcentral.
UCCACCGAAAGAAAAGGACGUGGCGAACGGGUGAGUAACGACGUGGGUAACCCUGCCCAUCGAGAAGGGGAUAACACUUGGAAACAGGUGCUAAUACCGGUAUAACAAGUCGAAACCGCAUGGUUUCGGUUUGAAAGGCGCUUUUGCGUCACUGAUGGAUGGACCCGCGGUGCAUUAGCUAGUUGGUGAGGUAACGGCUCACCAAGGCAACGAUGCAUAGCCGACCUGAGAGGGUGAUCGGCCACAUUGGGACUGAGACACGGCCCAGACUCCUACGGGAGGCAGCAGUAGGGAAUCUUCCGCAAUGGACGAAAGUCUGACGGAGCAACGCCGCGUGAGUGAAGAAGGUUUUUUCCGGAUCGUAAAACUCUGUUGUCAGAGAAGAACAAGUUGGAGAGUAACUGCUCCAGCCUUGACGGUAUCUGACCAGAAAGCCACGGCUAACUACGUGCCAGCAGCAGC